AAUUCUGCCCCUGGAAGAACAGAGGCAGGGAAGACCUGCCCGCUGUGCUGGAGCUGUCCGUGGUCCUGACAAGGCUGGCAGCAAUAAAGCCAUAAUCAGCUUAUCAAAGGAAGAAGCACAAGAAGCCAGAAGCACGUCCCUUAAUAAAGAUCUUGCUCUUAUUCUCUGGGUCUCUUAAGUAAUUAAGCCUGCUGUCUUCUACUGCUGGGUGUAUGGAUUAGGCUGGGAACCAAGCCUCUGCAAAUUAAAGCAGCAGAUAGACGUCCACACACACGCCUUCCCCCCAUACCUGAACCGCCCGUGCGUCCCAGCCAAAUGAGCUCUAGUACAUCUUGUCUCCGUGUGGUAUUCUUUUGCCUUGAACUAGAGAUUCUUUUUCUGGGGAACAGGUGUUCUUGAACCUGAUUUUCCAGGCUUAACCACCCUAAGAACCAAGUGAAAUUAAUUUAAUGAAUUCGCAAAGAAAGCAAAGAAGUUCCCUUUUUUUAAAGCAUUUUUUUCAUUGCUUCUUCCAUUUAUGCCCAUUGAUAUGUUUGUAUCAAAGGACAUAUAUUUACUGUAUAAGCAGUGUUACUGAUGUCAUUUCCAGAAAAAAAAUGUGGCAGAUACAGGAAUGUUGGGAACCUGACAUGAACCCCCACUCAUGCUUGAGAGCUCUGGCUGUGGGGUCAGGCGGGCCUGUUUCAGACUCUGACGGCCACUUACUAACUGUGUGUUCGUGGGCAACUCCUGAAUAUUUUUUGAGCCUCAGUUUCUUCAUCUGUAAAACGGGAUCAAUAAUACCUACCUUGCAGGGUCCUCUGCAAACGAAAGGAGAUAACGAAUGUGAAGCCUUUAAAACACUCAGCCGAGGCGAAGGCCACAUGAAAGAUAUGCACGUGCCAAGUGUUCAGGGAACUGCAAGCAACUUCACCAGCCUGGAUCUGGCCACACACGUGUCAGCCAAGGCCUCUUACCUUCGACCAGCUGCCGAGACCGAUGUGUUUUCUUUUCCGAGCCUCUCAGAUCCGCUCCACGCAGCCCGGGGGGUGUGGGCCGCGGGGAGGACAGUGGUAAAUAUCACGUCAACUCCGGAGGCACAGCCAAGGUUGAUGACUGAGUGUCGGGAUGACCGAUCAAGAGUCAGGUGAGUGGGGUGGGGGCUGGUAAGAAGGUCGGGGAGGCGGCAGGGCGAGGGCGGGGGUCAGAUUCAAGAACUAACGCAAAAGACACGAGCAGGAACCAGAGACCCAAGGAGGACAUAGAGCAGCGAAUUGAAUCCUGGAAACAGGUUUCCGCCGCUGGCUGCUUUUAGAAGAAUGAGGAGACCCCCCUCAGCAGCCUUUGGGGGCGAUGUCCUGUCUUUAAGACUCCCCACUCCCCGUGGAAACUCUCAUGUCCCCGGCCGGUCACACCAGUCUCUGAAGCUGAGCCUUAAGUGAAAAUGAUCGGCUUCCCAGGUGACUUUGGAGAAGCCAGAGUCAGCGGCUCCUUGAGUGUCUCCCCUGCACCUCCCUCCUCCACACCGCUGUUUCCAGACACCCCUUCCCAGGCGAUGCUGUAGAACCCUCACUGGCUCUCCCUUUAUUUCUGAGUUUGAUGGGUACCACUCGAGACAGAGGGUGUCCUGGCCCAGCCCCCCUGCAGCCUCGCACCUGUGACCGGCCUGCCUUCCUCUCGCUGCCCGCCUUGCUGUUUCUCCUGUGAUAUCCUUGGGCAUGACUGGGGGGAGCCCAGUGGACCCCUGAAAUGCAGAGGCCCCAGGGAGGAUGGGCCCAGGUGAGGCCCAGGUGUGGGAAAGACGGAUCUGGCAGGAAGAACUCAGUGUGUGCGGCCAUGUGAGCCAACACAGUGGAGC
RNAcentral lists this long non-coding RNA (1837 nucleotides) under Sus scrofa (pig). RNAcentral describes it as "lncRNA (ENSSSCG00050014235.1)". Lineage: Eukaryota; Metazoa; Chordata; Mammalia; Artiodactyla; Suidae. The record is from RNAcentral.